GACAGAGGGUGCAAACGUUGUUCGGAAUUACUGGGCGUAAAGCGAGUGUAGGCGGUCUCGUAAGUCGGGUGUGAAAGCCCUGGGCUCAACCCAGGAAGUGCACUCGAAACUGCGAGGCUAGAGUACUGGAGAGGUUGGUGGAAUUCUCGGUGUAGAGGUGAAAUUCGUAGAUAUCGAGAGGAACACCGGUGGCGAAGGCGGCCAACUGGACAGAUACUGACGCU
This 224-nucleotide ribosomal RNA is filed under the name uncultured bacterium. RNAcentral describes it as "partial 16S ribosomal RNA". It matches the Rfam family "Bacterial small subunit ribosomal RNA", at positions 524 to 747 of the family's 1533-position model. The record is from RNAcentral.